AUACGGAGGGGGCUAGCGUUGUUCGGAAUUACUGGGCGUAAAGCGUACGUAGGCGGACUGAUCAGUUGGGGGUGAAAUCCCAGGGCUUAACCCUGGAACUGCCUUCAAUACUGUCAGUCUUGAGUUUGGGAGAGGUGAGUGGAAUUCCUAGUGUAGAGGUGAAAUUCAUGGAUAUUAGGAGGAACACCAGUGGCGAAGGCGGCUCACUGGCCCAUUACUGACGCUGAGGUACGAAAGCGUGGGGAGCAAACAGGAUUAGAAACCCUAGUAGUCC
This 274-nucleotide ribosomal RNA is filed under the name uncultured bacterium. Its description in RNAcentral is "partial 16S ribosomal RNA". It matches the Rfam family "Bacterial small subunit ribosomal RNA", at positions 523 to 796 of the family's 1533-position model. The record is from RNAcentral.